UGGCUCAGUGGUAGAGCACUUGCCUUGCAUGCAUGAGACCCUGGGUUUGAUUCCUCAG
Molecule: transfer RNA, 58 nt
Filed under: Dipodomys ordii (Ord's kangaroo rat)
Lineage: Eukaryota; Metazoa; Chordata; Mammalia; Rodentia; Heteromyidae
Rfam family: tRNA
About the family: Transfer RNA (tRNA) molecules are approximately 80 nucleotides in length. Their secondary structure includes four short double-helical elements and three loops (D, anti-codon, and T loops).
Source: Rfam by way of RNAcentral